RNAcentral lists this long non-coding RNA (310 nucleotides) under Sorghum bicolor (sorghum). RNAcentral describes it as "long non-coding RNA (SBIC_LNC013673)". Lineage: Eukaryota; Viridiplantae; Streptophyta; Magnoliopsida; Poales; Poaceae. The record is from RNAcentral.
AGCGAAUAAUAUUUAGAGACUACCCACCAAUUUUGGUGAUUUUUGAACAUAUCAAUAAAUUAUUAAAAUUCAUAGAAGUUUUAUUCAUUAAAUAAUGGAGGCAAUUUUUAUACACAUGCAAACUACCAGAAAAAUAAAACUUAACAUUUUUCUGUGUUCUACUUAUUCUAUGGAAUCUAUACAAAAAUUUUUAUAAUUUUUGAAUCAGUACACAAUUUUCUACACAAUUUCACAUAUCAAGCAUUUUUGAACAAAAAGAAAAAAAAGAAAGCACACUGUGCUACACAGCCGGCCCGUUUGGUCACGGCCC